GUUAAAAAGCUCGUAGUUGGAUUUUGGUUAAGAGGGCGCGGUCGGCCGUUUGGUCUGUACUGCGUUGUCUUGACUUCCUGAUGAGGACAUACUCUUGGUUAACGCUGAGACAUGGAGUCAUCGUGGUUACUUUGAAAAAAUUAGAGUGUUCAAAGCGGGCUUACGCUUGAAUAUAUUAGCAUGGAAUAACACUAUAGGACUCCUGUCCUAUCUCGUUGGUCUCGGGAUGGGAGUAAUGAUUAAGAGGAACAGUUGGGGGCAUUCGUAUUUCAUUGUCAGAGGUGAAAUUCUUGGAUUUAUGAAAGACGAACUUCUGCGAAAGCAUUUGCCAAGGAUGUUUUCAUUAAUCAAGAACGAAAGUUGGGGGCUCGAAGAUGAUUAGAUACCAUCCUAGUCUCAACCAUAAACGAUGCCGACUAGGGAUUGGUGGAUGUUAAUUGAUGACUUCACCAGCACCUUAUGAGACAUCAAAGUUUUUGGGUUCCGGGGGGAGUAUGGUCGCAAAGCUGAAACUUAAA
This 518-nucleotide ribosomal RNA is filed under the name uncultured marine eukaryote. RNAcentral's name for it is "SSU rRNA". It matches the Rfam family "Eukaryotic small subunit ribosomal RNA", at positions 618 to 1148 of the family's 1831-position model. The record is from RNAcentral.